Molecule: non-coding RNA, 305 nt
Organism: Podarcis lilfordi (Lilford's wall lizard)
Lineage: Eukaryota; Metazoa; Chordata; Lepidosauria; Squamata; Lacertidae
Source: the annotation of a GenBank genome assembly
GGAUGUGAGGGCAAUCUGGCUGCGACAUCUGUCACCCCAUUGAUCGCCAGGGUUGAUUCGGCUGAUCUGGCUGGCUGGGCGGGUGUCCCCUUCCUCCCUCACCGCUCCAUGUGUGUCCCUCCCGAAGCUGCGCGCUCGGUGGAAGAGGACGACCAUCCCAGAUAGAAGGAGUGUACCGUUCUUCGGUCAAGGGUAUACGAUAGCUGCGCUCCCCUGCUAGAACCUCCAAACAAGCUCAAAUAAUUUCUUACUUGCCCGUUAGCGCUGGCUCCCAGAGCAGCUUACCAGUAAAACACUGCAAUAUU